This 506-nucleotide ribosomal RNA is filed under the name uncultured bacterium. RNAcentral's name for it is "partial 16S ribosomal RNA". It matches the Rfam family "Bacterial small subunit ribosomal RNA", at positions 28 to 523 of the family's 1533-position model. The record is from RNAcentral.
GAUGAACGCUAGCUACAGGCUUAACACAUGCAAGUCGAGGGGUAACGAGAGGAAAGCUUGCUUUCCUUGUCGACGACCGGCGCACGGGUGAGUAACGCGUAUCCAACCUGCCCCCAACUAAGGAAUAACCUUGCGAAAGUAAGACUAAUACCUUAUAAUUUCCUCAGAUGUCAUCUGACGAGGAAUAAAGAUUUAUCGGUUGUGGAUGGGGAUGCGUCUGAUUAGCUUGUUGGCGGGGUAACGGCCCACCAAGGCAACGAUCAGUAGGGGUUCUGGGAGGAAGCGCCCCCACAUGGGAACUGGGAGACGGUCCAAAUUCCUACGGGAGGCAGCAGUGAGGAAUAUUGGUCAAUGGGCGGAAGCCUGAACCAGCCAAGUAGCGUGCAGGAUGACGGCCCUAUGGGUUGUAAACUGCUUUUAUACAGGAAUAAAGUUAGCCACGUGUGGUUAUUUGUAGGUACUGUAUGAAUAAGGACCGGCUAAUUCCGUGCCAGCCGCCGCGGUAA